This is a long non-coding RNA of Hirundo rustica (Barn swallow), 460 nucleotides long. RefSeq lists it as uncharacterized. The transcript is spliced from 3 exons. Lineage: Eukaryota; Metazoa; Chordata; Aves; Passeriformes; Hirundinidae. The record is from RefSeq and is a predicted model, not a curated record.
GGAGUUUUAAAGAGAGGCACUGUUGGAUUUCCCAGAGGCAGUUGAGUUAAUUUUUGUGUUGUGUACUAAACAGUUGAACUUUUUUUUUCCUUCCAGAAUGCUGCCGUGCAACCCACCUGGGUGCUUGGCACAUCCUAGGUUUUUUUCCCUCUCUUGUCACAUCAGAACCCCCUGGCAUCCUCAAGUCCAGAGGAACUUUGAGAAAAAGGAUUCCCAGUGAGACAAGCAAGCAGCUGGUGGGGAAGAGAGAAGAGGCCGCAGGCUGGAGAGGAGCAGGAGAAACCCCCCUGGCAUCACCAGGCCACCUGUGGGGAACAGAACGGACACUUUGGGAGUAAAAAGAGGAAAGGGAUGCACAUCCCUGCCUUCAGCGCACCUCCAGUGGGACCCACCUGAAAAAGCUUUCCAUCGCUUCUUCAUCAGCUUCCAGCUGGCUCCCUGAAAAACUCCAAACUUCAUC